This 211-nucleotide long non-coding RNA is filed under the name Trifolium pratense (red clover). RNAcentral describes it as "long non-coding RNA (TPRA_LNC000662)". The record is from RNAcentral. Lineage: Eukaryota; Viridiplantae; Streptophyta; Magnoliopsida; Fabales; Fabaceae.
AAAUACGGAAAGCAAUUAAACAUUUAGCAUUUCCCAUCAACGAGCAUAAUAUGAAUAAAUGUGCGCACAGCCUACCAAUGCAGACUCUACAUGAGCGUGACACCAAUCACUGGCUGCCACAUGCAUGAAUUCCGGAAUUUAACCUCUCCGCAGAGAGUCGUAGGUUUCAAGUGGACACCAAUCACUAGCUGUCGCACGCCUACUAAACCCC